GAUGAACGCUGGCGGCGUGCCUAAUACAUGCAAGUCGAGCGAACGGACGAGAAGCUUGCUUCUCUGAUGUUAGCGGCGGACGGGUGAGUAACACGUGGAUAACCUACCUAUAAGACUGGGAUAACUUCGGGAAACCGUAGCUAAUACCGGAUAAUAUUUUGAACCGCAUGGUUCAAAAGUGAAAGACGGUCUUGCUGUCACUUAUAGAUGGAUCCGCGCUGCAUUAGCUAGUUGGUAAGGUAACGGCUUACCAAGGCAACGAUGCAUAGCCGACCUGAGAGGUGGAUCGGCCACACUGGAACUUAGACACGGUCCAGACUCCUACGGGAGGCAGCAGUAGGGAAUCUUCCGCAAUGGGCGAAAGCCUGACGGAGCAACGCCGCGUGAGUGAUGAAGGUCUUCGGAUCGUAAAACUCUGUUAUUAGGGAAGAACAUAUGUGUAAGUAACUGUGCACAUCUUGACGGUACCUAAUCAGAAAGCCACGGCUAACUACGUG
This 497-nucleotide ribosomal RNA is filed under the name uncultured bacterium. Its description in RNAcentral is "partial 16S ribosomal RNA". It matches the Rfam family "Bacterial small subunit ribosomal RNA", at positions 28 to 507 of the family's 1533-position model. The record is from RNAcentral.